GGCUGGUUAUAUUGAUAUAUAAGUGAGGAACAGGGAAAACGGUGCAAGUCCGUUACAGCCCCCGCUGCCGUAAGGCGGACGGGUCGCGCCAAAUGCCACUGUGCGGCGGGCCGCAUGGGAAGGCGCGCGAUCCGGAUGAUACCAAGUCGGAAGACCUC
RNAcentral lists this non-coding RNA (158 nucleotides) under human gut metagenome. The record is from RNAcentral.